This 935-nucleotide ribosomal RNA is filed under the name uncultured Comamonadaceae bacterium. Its description in RNAcentral is "bacterial SSU rRNA". It matches the Rfam family "Bacterial small subunit ribosomal RNA", at positions 57 to 990 of the family's 1533-position model. Lineage: Bacteria; Pseudomonadati; Pseudomonadota; Betaproteobacteria; Burkholderiales; Comamonadaceae. The record is from RNAcentral.
GCAAGUCGAACGGUAACAGGCCGCAAGGUGCUGACGAGUGGCGAACGGGUGAGUAAUGCAUCGGAACGUGCCCAGUCGUGGGGGAUAACGCAGCGAAAGCUGCGCUAAUACCGCAUACGAUCUAUGGAUGAAAGCGGGGGACCGUAAGGCCUCGCGCGAUUGGAGCGGCCGAUGUCAGAUUAGGUAGUUGGUGUGGUAAAGGCUCACCAAGCCAACGAUCUGUAGCUGGUCUGAGAGGACGACCAGCCACACUGGAACUGAGACACGGUCCAGACUCCUACGGGAGGCAGCAGUGGGGAAUUUUGGACAAUGGGCGCAAGCCUGAUCCAGCAAUGCCGCGUGCAGGAAGAAGGCCUUCGGGUUGUAAACUGCUUUUGUACGGAACGAAACGGUCUGAGUUAAUACCUCGGGCUAAUGACGGUACCGUAAGAAUAAGCACCGGCUAACUACGUGCCAGCAGCCGCGGUAAUACGUAGGGUGCAAGCGUUAAUCGGAAUUACUGGGCGUAAAGCGUGCGCAGGCGGUGAUGUAAGACAGUCGUGAAAUCCCCGGGCUCAACCUGGGAAUUGCGAUUGUGACUGCAUCGCUGGAGUGCGGCAGAGGGGGAUGGAAUUCCGCGUGUAGCAGUGAAAUGCGUAGAUAUGCGGAGGAACACCGAUGGCGAAGGCAAUCCCCUGGGCCUGCACUGACGCUCAUGCACGAAAGCGUGGGGAGCAAACAGGAUUAGAUACCCUGGUAGUCCACGCCCUAAACGAUGUCAACUGGUUGUUGGGUCUCUUCUGACUCAGUAACGAAGCUAACGCGUGAAGUUGACCGCCUGGGGAGUACGGCCGCAAGGUUGAAUCUCAAAGGAAUUGACGGGGACCCGCACAAGCGGUGGAUGAUGUGGUUUAAUUCGGAUGCACGCGAAAAACCUUACCCACCUUUGACAUGUA